Molecule: unclassified non-coding RNA, 336 nt
Filed under: soil metagenome
Description: partial contains 5.8S ribosomal RNA, internal transcribed spacer 2, and large subunit ribosomal RNA
Rfam family: 5.8S ribosomal RNA (bases 1-120)
Source: RNAcentral
GAUGAAGAACGUAGCGAAAUGCGAUAAGUAGUGUGAAUUGCAGAAUCCAGUGAAUCAUCGAAUCUUUGAACGCACAUUGCGCCCCUUGGUAUUCCAUGGGGCAUGCCUGUUCGAGCGUCAUUUGUACCUUCAAGCUUUGCUUGGUGUUGGGUGUUUGUCUCGCCUUUGCGUGUAGACUCGCCUUAAAAUAAUUGGCAGCCGGCGUAUUGAUUUCGGAGCGCAGUACAUCUCGCGCUUUGCACUCAUAACGACAGCGUCCAAAAGUACAUUUUACACUCUUGACCUCGGAUCAGGUAGGGAUACCCGCUGAACUUAAGCAUAUCAAUAAGCGGAGGA